RNAcentral lists this ribosomal RNA (253 nucleotides) under uncultured bacterium. RNAcentral's name for it is "partial 16S ribosomal RNA". It matches the Rfam family "Bacterial small subunit ribosomal RNA", at positions 524 to 776 of the family's 1533-position model. The record is from RNAcentral.
UACGUAGGGUGCGAGCGUUAAUCGGAAUUACUGGGCGUAAAGCGUGCGCAGGCGGUUCGUUGUGUCGGCGGUGAAAGCCCCGGGCUCAACCUGGGAAUGGCCGUUGAAACUGGCGAACUGGAGUGUGGCAGAGGGGGGUGGAAUUCCGCGUGUAGCAGUGAAAUGCGUAGAGAUGCAGAGGAACACCGAUGGCGAAGGCAGCCCCCUGGGCUGACACUGACGCUCAGGCACGAAAGCGUGGGGAGCAAACAGG